UCUUCUGGCUCGACCAAGGACGGCAUGACAGACGAAUGACAGUGAAACUACACUGAAUAACCACCAGGGGGUGACGGUGUCGUACCUGCGUCACUCAGCCAUUUCUCCAGCAGAGGCUUGAGCUUGCACAUGUUCUUGAAGCUGAGGUUGAGAGCCUCAAAGCGAGAGAUGGUCGUCUGGCUGAAGUCGUUCCCGUACAGUUUCCCCAUGGCAAGGCCCACGUCUCCCUGUGGUGAGUAACACGGACAGAUGUUUCUACAACUGUGACAGGUGAGUGUUUUACACAUGAGUGACCUCUGACCCCUCCUCCGUUUACCUGAGUGAAGCCCAGUUUGAUGCGUCUCUGUUUGAACGCUUUAGCGAACUGUUCCAGCUCCUCCAGGUCGCUGGGCUCCUCCUGUGACGGCACUGACAUGUGUUUGGGCAUCUGCAGGUGAGACAUGUCCAUGUGCGUCUCCAUGGACGGUCCUGCCAGACCUGAGCGGCUCAUGGCCUGGAUCAGAACAAACAGCUCUUAAAUCAACUGAGGUCACUUUACACACAGCACAGGAGAGGAAGUGGUUGAAUGGUUUUACCUGUGGAGUCAGAGCCAGGCCAGGCUGAUGCUGGAGAAGACCACUUGGACUGUGGGUGGGGAGAGAGAGAAGGUUCUGCUGCAGGACAGCUGCAAACAAACACACUUAUCAACUCUCUGUUUGCUGAAUAAACCCACCUACCUACCUACCAAACCCUGCUAUCAAAAGCAAAUGAAAAGGGAUUAAAAGAAAGAAAAUAGUAUAAUUCAGUAUAAUAUAAUAAGAGUACUAUAAUAAUAAGUAAUAGUAAAGUCAUCUUGAACACGUUCAUGUUUACAUUACUGCAUCAUCAUGGUUCACCCUGUAUUUGCUGAUCUAUAAUCAUUCAUUUAUUAUAACUGACAUAGCAUUCAUUUUUCCAUAUAAGACCCUAUAAGAAUCUAAGAUGCCACAUGUGUUGUCCGUUUAUAAAUAAGAAACAACAAUGGAAAGAUAAUAUGGUUUGAAAUGUGUCACAUUUUGUGUUUAAUGUGCUUUUUCAGUGUGCACCUUGGUGUCCGGUGGGACUCUGUGAGAGCAGGAACGAGGAGGGAGACGGCAGGUGAGACGGUGGCAUCAGAACCAGCUGCUGCAUCGUGUGGAGCGAGGUCAGCUCCUGCAGAGACAGAGACAAACAAAGACACAGCGGCAGCAGCGGGAGAAUGAGUCCACCGAGCUUUAAAACCACAGCAGCAUAUGACAGUGAGGCAGAAGAGUUCAUACGUCUGCUGGAUAAAGCUCACAUCAUUUGAAUGUCAAAUGGGACCAGUGUGUGUGUGUGUGUGUGUGUGUGUGAGAGAGAGAGAGAGAGAGAGAGAGAGAGAGAGAGGCAGGAGAGCGAGGAGCUGCUGGAGACACAAUGCAAAUACCACACACACACUCGACCCCACCCCCCUCUCACCUCACCAUCACCACCCCUUCCCUGUUUGUGACUGCACGUCCGUCACCGUCGUCCUCGGCCGCUUAACAGCAAGCAUUUCUCAGCAAACAGCCUGAGGGGCAUCCUGGUGCAUCAACCAACUGCCACAGUAUCACACACACACACACACACACUCUAGAAACUAGACUAAACUAAAAUGCUGCUUGUUUAGCUUUAAUCUUUCUGUAAUCUGGACAUUAUCACGCCUUCAUUCAUUGUAUAUAAUGUCCAGAACUUUUUCUUGUACAUAUAUGCACACAGACUAUUGUCCUAUUUUUUCUGUUCUUAACUGUUUUUUGCUGCCAUAAAAAGUGGAUUUGAUAAACACACUGCAAUAAAAUAGAGCAUGUACUAGUGUAAUUGACUUGAAUUCAGUGUAUUUAUCUAAUCACACCAUUUAUUUGGACUUAUUUACUUAUUAAUUCUUAUUCAUGAGAUAAUUUGACUUGUUUCAAGGUAUUUGUUUUGUGCCAUUUUCUUGCUUGAAACGAGUCAUUUUCCCCUAAUAGUGGUGAUAUUUUUCAGUGAGUUUAUCUUAUCUUAUAUGUGGACACAUAAACACAAAGUUUAAAAGGAGCUUCUGUCACAACCUGGUGUGAAAUACACCAAGAUCAAUGAGGAGUGACUUAAAAACGUUGAUUAAAAAAUGUAUAUUUCCUAAUUUGAUGUUUUUUUCCACCUUUUUAAACGUCAUUCAUGACAUACAAAUAAGUUUUUACAGCUUUUUUCAACAGAUCAAACAAAGACCAACACAUGAAUCUUUUACUCUAACUACAUUGUCUGUGCAAUGUUACCUUGUUGCCUGUGAGUUAGAACAAACCUAAAUGUAACAUAAACUGUUGUGUUUGUUAACAUCAGCUGUCUGAUGUGUGUGAGCUCCACAUGAUUUCACUGAGCCGUGUUUCUGUUGCAGUCGCUGCCAAUAAAAAGGAAUUGUGCUCUACUUCAAAUAAACAAACAAACAAACAAACAAACAAAACAGCUGUGACAGGAUAAACAACACUCGUCCUGCCGCGUUCAAAGAUGAGAAAUGAUCCUUACCUGCCUGCUCGGCUGCAGCCUCCGACUGUUCCACUGAGUCUGCGCUCAUCUUAAUAUCUGUAAUGAUAAAUACAGAUGAUUUUCCUACAGCAGAGCAACUUUUACCGGGACAAUGAAGCACUCAGGAACACUCAGGAAAAUGAUCUUGAGUGUAUUCUAAUGCGCCCUCCCCUCCACACUACCACACGCAACACUCUGUGUCAUCCCUGCUUAUAAUAUUCAUCAGCAGGGCAGAUAUUCCUAUGUCAUUAAACAGUGAUGCUGAGUUUACUCACCUCAGGU
This is a long non-coding RNA of Solea solea (common sole), 2796 nucleotides long. RefSeq lists it as uncharacterized. The transcript is spliced from 4 exons. The record is from RefSeq and is a predicted model, not a curated record. Lineage: Eukaryota; Metazoa; Chordata; Actinopteri; Pleuronectiformes; Soleidae.